UGGCCUGGGUUUUUAAGUCACUUUCAGAUCUCACCGCCUCCUUUCUCUCUUUCUCUCUCAUCCUCAGUAAACUCUAAACAAGAAAGUUCUCCGUCUAGCCUCAUCCCCUGGUUGUUCAGUCAUCCAUUUGCAGAUUCUAGGUGAAAUUGGUUGCAGGUCAUCUUGCAUAAGUCAUCUUUCAACUUCUAUAACAUUCAGAUAGGAGAGAGGGAGAGACCGAAAAACUAUGAGAGAGAGAAAGAUAAAAAGGAGAGGGAAAUGGGCGAUGGAGAUGGUGUUGGUCCUUAAGUCCAAGUCUGGAGAGAGAAGUGGCUGGCACGGUGUACUAGCGGUGGAACGCGGUGGAUGGCCACUGCAGAUAGCAAUGGUGGUCGUCUUCCCCGAUCAUUUGAAACCCUAGAAUCUCUGCUUCAAUCACUCACCAAUCUCCUUCCCCGCUGCCAGAAAUUCAUCGCCAAAGACAUCAUCUUGUUGAUCCUGGUUAUUUGGCUAGGGUUUCAUUCAGUGACGACAAUGCAUUCCCAUCAAAGAAAGAGAUGAAGGGCAGACACAGAAGAAAGGGGAAAUUACGAUUCUGAAACACAUCGCCAUCCACAUCACCAAUCAUGAAUUUCUCAUGGUAUGAUCUCAUGCUUCAUAUCUAUGUCCAUGAUUUUUAGUAAUGGAACUCAAUUACCAUCAGCUGGUUGUCAGGUACCUAACUAAGAACCCUCGGGUUAAUGAUUUUCCAAGCGAUCCUCAAGUUUGUUCUUAACCCAAUGAGGAAAGAUUCAUAAAAACACAAAAAAAAUUGGUUCUUGAAUAUUUAAAUUCCCUUUUGUUUGUUUGUUGAAGAUAAACCUUGAUGACUUGGUUGAUAAGAUUAAACACCAUGAGUCACGACUCACUAGAAGAGAUUUUCUCAUUUGUUGUUAAAGUUGCUGCUCACAUGGAUGGCAACGGUGGCAAUGCAUAUGAACUUUUUGAGAUUUGCUCAGCAGAGGGUCAUGCUAUUGUUAGAUUCUUUUUUUUCUCUUAUCUAUUUUUAACUUAUGGGAUUUUAUGCGAAGACUUGGUAAAAAUUAACGGCGUAUUUACUUCGUUAUGUUUAUGAUUUUAAUA
Long non-coding RNA from Helianthus annuus (common sunflower), 1101 nucleotides. RefSeq lists it as uncharacterized. The transcript has 2 exons. NCBI's taxonomy places the organism in Eukaryota, Viridiplantae, Streptophyta, Magnoliopsida, Asterales, Asteraceae. The record is from RefSeq and is a predicted model, not a curated record.